UACGUAGGGGGCAAGCGUUGUCCGGAAUUACUGGGCGUAAAGAGUUCGUAGGCGGUUUGUCGCGUCGUUUGUGAAAACCAGCAGCUCAACUGCUGGCUUGCAGGCGAUACGGGCAGACUUGAGUACUGCAGGGGAGACUGGAAUUCCUGGUGUAGCGGUGAAAUGCGCAGAUAUCAGGAGGAACACCGGUGGCGAAGGCGGGUCUCUGGGCAGUAACUGACGCUGAGGAACGAAAGCGUGGGUAGCGAACAGG
RNAcentral lists this ribosomal RNA (253 nucleotides) under uncultured bacterium. Its description in RNAcentral is "partial 16S ribosomal RNA". It matches the Rfam family "Bacterial small subunit ribosomal RNA", at positions 524 to 776 of the family's 1533-position model. The record is from RNAcentral.